CUCAAUCCUCCCGCCGCCGCUGCCGCCAUGGAUCACCGCCACUACAUCGAUUUCUCUUUGCCUCUCCAUCAUCGCUCAAUCUAGCCCAUCAUGUUUUAUUUUGAGGUUCCAGGGAUGAAGGAGAUCAAAAUUUCAAAGGCCAAUUUGAUGUAAGCCGUGGCUUUUGUGAUGGGUGGAAUUCAAGAAGCCUGCAAUGAUAUUUAAAUCUUUCAACGUUGAUUGUAUUAGUUGCGGUGGAGGUUGGCUAUUAUGGUCAAAUCGAAACCAAAGGCAAGUUAGCUGGACCUACCAAUUUGAGCAUUGGCCACAUCCUUAAUGAUGUUAGACUACUUG
Molecule: long non-coding RNA, 333 nt
Organism: Quercus lobata
Lineage: Eukaryota; Viridiplantae; Streptophyta; Magnoliopsida; Fagales; Fagaceae
Exons: 3
Source: RefSeq, a predicted model, not a curated record